UCGCUGAUGGAUGGGCCCGCGUCGGAUUAGCUAGUUGGUGAGGUAACGGCUCACCAAGGCGACGAUCCGUAGCUGGUCUAAGAGGAUGAUCAGCCACACUGGGACUGAGACACGGCCCAG
This 120-nucleotide ribosomal RNA is filed under the name uncultured bacterium. RNAcentral's name for it is "partial 16S ribosomal RNA". It matches the Rfam family "Bacterial small subunit ribosomal RNA", at positions 215 to 334 of the family's 1533-position model. The record is from RNAcentral.